RNAcentral lists this ribosomal RNA (513 nucleotides) under uncultured bacterium. Its description in RNAcentral is "bacterial SSU rRNA". It matches the Rfam family "Bacterial small subunit ribosomal RNA", at positions 18 to 518 of the family's 1533-position model. The record is from RNAcentral.
CCUGGCUUAGGAUGAACGCUGGCGGCGUGCCUAACACAUGCAAGUCGAACGGAGUUAACGCUGAUGAAGCUCGGCGGAUUCUGUUAAACUAGUGGCGGACGGGUGAGUAACGCGUGGGUAACCUGCCUCAUACAGGGGGAUAGCAGUUGGAAACGACUGAUAACACCGCAUAAGCGCACAGUAUCGCAUGAUACAGUGUGAAAAUAUUUAUAGGUAUGAGAUGGACCCGCGUCUGAUUAGCUAGUUGGUGAGGUAACGGCCCACCAAGGCGACGAUCAGUAGCCGGCCUGAGAGGGCGGACGGCCACAUUGGGACUGAGACACGGCCCAAACUCCUACGGGAGGCAGCAGUGGGGGAUAUUGCACAAUGGGCGAAAGCCUGAUGCAGCGACGCCCGCGUGAGUGAAGAAGUAUUUCGGUAUGUAAAGCUCUAUCAGCAGGGAAGAAAGACCUCGUAAGAGGGGAUGACGGUACCUGAGUAAGAAGCCCCGGCUAACUACGUGCCAGCCGCGGC